RNAcentral lists this unclassified non-coding RNA (364 nucleotides) under uncultured Chytridiomycota. RNAcentral's name for it is "sequence contains ITS1". The stretch from base 1 to 101 matches the Rfam family "5.8S ribosomal RNA", at positions 50 to 154 of the family's 154-position model. The record is from RNAcentral. Lineage: Eukaryota; Fungi; Chytridiomycota.
GAAAUGCGAUACGUAAUGUGAAUUGCAGAAUUCCGUGAAUCAUCGAAUCUUUGAACGCACAUUGCACUCCAUUUCGAUGGAGUAUGCCUGUUUGAGAAUCUAUAGUAUUUAUUUACCUUUAUUCUUUGGGAUAAAAGUUAAAAAUUUGCAGGUUAACCCCUGCGAACUUGCUAGCUGAACUACGCUUUAGAGUGUUUGACUCGUUGCUAAGCAUCAGAAAAGUAUUUGAAUGAGGUAACCCUCUUAUAAUGCCGAUUAAGAUGCAGUAUCGAUUAGCUCUAAACUAUUUUACAGUCUCAUAUAAAAAGUCUAAUAAACUUUGAACCAUGGUCUCAAAUCAGGUAGGAAUACCCGCUGAACUUAA